GCUGAAAGUGUGGCAUCACUCCCGAUUCGCGGGAACUUUUUAUUUCCCAAGAAAGAAGAAAAUGUCGAGGGUGCUGCUGGAUAAGUGCAACGUAGACAAGUUCAUCGUUGGAGAGAAUGGGGAGGGGGGGCUCCCCCCCCCAAACGCAAACAAACAAAGGCCAAAAGGCCACAGAAGCGCCGCAAGACUGCGAAGGCGGCAAAUCAGGAGGCGGCUAGCGAGGAGGCGGCCGUCGAUAAGGCUGAUGUAAUAAAUAUCUGAAUAAAUAAAUAUGAAGAAAUAAAAACAUCAAAAGUAAA
Molecule: non-coding RNA, 299 nt
Organism: Drosophila suzukii
Lineage: Eukaryota; Metazoa; Arthropoda; Insecta; Diptera; Drosophilidae
Source: RefSeq, a predicted model, not a curated record